UUACGGCCAUAUUACGUUGAAACACUGUUUCCCGUUAGAUCACUGAAGUUAAGCAACAUCAAGCCUGGUCAGUAUUUGGAUGGGUGACUGC
Molecule: non-coding RNA, 91 nt
Organism: Acanthosepion pharaonis
Lineage: Eukaryota; Metazoa; Mollusca; Cephalopoda; Sepiida; Sepiidae
Source: the annotation of a GenBank genome assembly